RNAcentral lists this ribosomal RNA (504 nucleotides) under Cephalotrichum dendrocephalum. Its description in RNAcentral is "eukaryotic LSU rRNA". The stretch from base 140 to 292 matches the Rfam family "5.8S ribosomal RNA". The record is from RNAcentral. Lineage: Eukaryota; Fungi; Ascomycota; Sordariomycetes; Microascales; Microascaceae.
CUCUUGCCGCGUUGUCUCGGCGGGAGGCGGUGGGCGUCGCGCGCCCUAGCGGGCCGCGCCGCUCCCGUCCCCGCCGGCGGCGCCAAACUCUAAAUUUACAGCGGACUGUACGUUCUGAUUUACAAUAAAAACAAGUUAAAACUUUCAACAACGGAUCUCUUGGUUCGGCAUCGAUGAAGAACGCAGCGAAAUGCGAUAAGUAAUGUGAAUUGCAGAAUUCAGUGAACCAUCGAAUCUUUGAACGCACAUUGCGCCCGGCAGUAAUCUGCCGGGCAUGCCUGUCCGAGCGUCAUUUCUGCCCUCGAGCGAGUCCAGCAUCUAGGUGCUGGGCCUCGCCCGGCGUUGGGGCACUACGGGAAGCCCUGUGCUGUCCCCCGUAGGCCCCGAAAUGAAGUGGCGGUCCUGCCGCGGCGCCCCCUGCGUAGUAUAACAGCUCGCUUCGGGACCCGGUGGAGGCCUGCCGUCAAACCUAUACUCUCUAAGUUUGACCUCGGAUCAGGUAGG